GACGAACGCUGGCGGCGUGCUUAACACAUGCAAGUCGAACGGAAAGGCCCUGCUUUUGUGGGGUGCUCGAGUGGCGAACGGGUGAGUAACACGUGAGUAACCUGCCCUUGACUUUGGGAUAACUUCAGGAAACUGGGGCUAAUACCGGAUAGGAGCUCCUGCUGCAUGGUGGGGGUUGGAAAGUGUCGGCGGUGGGGGAUGGACUCGCGGCUUAUCAGCUUGUUGGUGGGGUAGUGGCUUACCAAGGCUUUGACGGGUAGCCGGCCUGAGAGGGUGACCGGCCACAUUGGGACUGAGAUACGGCCCAGACUCCUACGGGAGGCAGCAGUGGGGAAUAUUGCACAAUGGGCGGAAGCCUGAUGCAGCAACGCCGCGUGCGGGAUGACGGCCUUCGGGUUGUAAACCGCUUUCGCCUGUGACGAAGCGUGAGUGACGGUAAUGGGUAAAGAAGCACCGGCUAACUACGUG
RNAcentral lists this ribosomal RNA (468 nucleotides) under uncultured bacterium. RNAcentral's name for it is "partial 16S ribosomal RNA". It matches the Rfam family "Bacterial small subunit ribosomal RNA", at positions 28 to 507 of the family's 1533-position model. The record is from RNAcentral.